GACGAACGCUGGCGGCGUGCUUAACACAUGCAAGUCGAACGGAAAGGCCCUGCUUUUGUGGGGUGCUCGAGUGGCGAACGGGUGAGUAACACGUGAGUAACCUGCCCUUGACUUUGGGAUAACUUCAGGAAACUGGGGCUAAUACCGGAUAGGAGCUCCUGCUGCAUGGUGGGGGUUGGAAAGUUUCGGCGGUUGGGGAUGGACUCGCGGCUUAUCAGCUUGUUGGUGGGGUAGUGGCUUACCAAGGCUUUGACGGGUAGCCGGCCUGAGAGGGUGACCGGCCACAAUGGGACUGAGAUACGGACCAGACUCCUACGGGAGGCAGCAGUGGGGAAUAUUGCACAGUGGGCGGAAGCCUGAUGCAGCAACGCCGCGUGCGGGAUGACGGCCUUCGGGUUGUAAACCGCUUUCGCCUGUGACGAAGCGUGAGUGACGGUAAUGGGUAAAGAAGCACCGGCUAACUACGUG
This 468-nucleotide ribosomal RNA is filed under the name uncultured bacterium. RNAcentral's name for it is "partial 16S ribosomal RNA". It matches the Rfam family "Bacterial small subunit ribosomal RNA", at positions 28 to 507 of the family's 1533-position model. The record is from RNAcentral.